UUCUUGGGUACCUAAUAUUCAAGCUUUUGGGUUCUCCCCUUAGACCAAAUGUACAAUUGAGCUUAUAUCAUAAUCAAUUCAUUUUAAGAUUAAUCCAUCACAACUUUCAGUCGGUAGAGAUCGUCUAGAAAAGUAGUAACACAGAAAUGCACGUCUCUAGAAUCCUUGCAUUUGAACUUGGACGGGAUAAUUCCUGCGGUUAGCUUCACUAGUUCUAACUUGAAUCAUUUGAGGCUCUGGAUAACAUUGGUGUGGCUUUGAUUGAACAAUAUAAUGGAAGACCUAUCACAAGUAAACGUGCUGAGGGUUUCCACGGUGAAACCAGCUGUGCCUACAGAGAGCAGAAGAAUGUUUCUCUCUGCUUUUGAUCUAAUGUGGCGUGGUAUGAAGUCGGUUGAAAGGCUUCUCUUUUACAAGACAUCUUGUAACGAGUUUGAUGUAAUAGUUGAGAGGUUAAAGAGCAGUCUGUCAUCAAUUUUGGUGCAUUUUUAUCCAUUGGCAGGGAGAUUGGCCUUUGGAGACGAGAACAAAAGGCUGGAAAUAGACUGCAAUGAUGAAGGAAUCCUGUUUUUUGAAGCUUCUGCCAAUCUCCAUUUCCAUGAUUUGGAAAUUAGUGAGUUUGAGUACAGACCUGUUUUCAGAAGACUUAUCCCUGCCCUCCGCCAAUAUCAAGAAGAAGAAUUACCACUUCUCUCUAUCCAGGUAACAGCAUUUAAUGGAGGCAGCAUUUGCAUUGGGACUCGUCUUCAUCACAUAGUAGCAGAUGGAAACUCAUAUUGGCAUUUCAUGAAAUCAUGGGCCGAGUGUUGCAGAGGAGCGCCCAUUUCCAGAUAUCCUGAGCACAAAAGAGACUUCUUUAGACUUUCCAACAACAUUAUCAAUCCAAGCAAUAUUGCUGCAGAAGAUAGCAAAUGUACUUUCCAUGAAAGCAAACAAGCACAGAGCAAAAGCUGCAAAACAGAUGGAGAAACACAACAUUUGCCGUCUCAGAUGCCAGACCAUAAAAAUGAAAGCAGUGAAACAAAACUCUUGGAUUCUAACCAGAUCUACAAAAUUGAUGACGUAAGCAGACCUCUUGAGAAGGGUAAUCAGCCUAAAGAUUUGAUAUACAAAACAUUUCAUUGUAGUAAAGAGAUGAUUCAGAAGCAAAAGGCUCAGGCUGAGAAAAAUGGAAACCAAGUUUUUAGCUCUUUUGUGGCAGUUGCAGCUCAUUUUUGGAGAUGCAUAGUUAAAGCUCGACAAAUCCCAGAUGAAGGGCCUGUAGGGAUGCUUCUGCUAGUAGACAGUAGAAAUCGAGCAAAUCCUCCGUUGUCUCCAGCUUAUUUUGGCAACUGUGUACAAAUUACAUUUGCCAAUGCAACUGCUAGAGAACUGUUGAGCCAAACAGUGUCCUUUGCAUGCAGCCUUAUUAAAGAAGCAGUUAACAAGUGUACAGAAGAAAGUCUUAUAAAUAUGAUAAAAUGGGAGGAAUCUAAUUGGCAGGACAAGGAACGUGAGAAGCCUGAGAAGCGUCCUAUGAGAGAAAGGUGUACUGUGCACGUAAUCAGUUCUCCAAGGUUUCCUGUGUAUGAGGUUGAUUAUGGGUGGGGGAGGCCAGUGAAUGUGCAAGCUGCAUCGAUGAACGAAAUAGGAGCCAUGGUAUUGUUUCCUGGCAGAGAUGGUGGUGGUACAAUGGAUAUCUCUACCUGUCUUCCUCAAUCUCAGAUGGAUGUCUUCCAUUCCCUGUUUGUUGGAUCUAUCAGUUCAUUGCAACCCGAUGAAUGAAAGUAGGACUACUAUGUUCAGUACUUAGAGCUUCAAUCCUAACCUUUAGUUAGGGACAUACCGACCAGCAUAGAAUUCAAGAGUUGAAUUUGCUUUAUACAUUUGCACAAGAGAAACCUUCGAUCAUCAGCGCAAGCAUAGAAACCUGCUUCACUGCAAUGAAAAGACACACCAGCAUCAGUGAGGAAUUUCCUCCUUGCGAAAUUUACCGUGCAUGAUAUGGGCAUUUA
Molecule: RNA transcript, 1994 nt
Organism: Cryptomeria japonica (Japanese cedar)
Lineage: Eukaryota; Viridiplantae; Streptophyta; Pinopsida; Cupressales; Cupressaceae
Gene name: spermidine hydroxycinnamoyl transferase
Exons: 3
Source: RefSeq, a predicted model, not a curated record